Molecule: ribosomal RNA, 478 nt
Filed under: uncultured bacterium
Lineage: Bacteria
Description: partial 16S ribosomal RNA
Rfam family: Bacterial small subunit ribosomal RNA
Source: RNAcentral
GAUGAACGCUGGCGGCGUGCUUAACACAUGCAAGUCGAACGAGAAGUGGAGACGGAAACCUUCGGGCGGAAGACUUUAUUUCGAGUGGCGGACGGGUGAGUAACGCGUGGGUAACCUGCCUCAUACAUGGGGAUAACAGUUGGAAACGACUGUUAAUACCGCAUAAGACCACAGCACCGCAUGGUGCGGGGGUAAAAACUCCGGUGGUAUGAGAUGGACCCGCGUUCGAUUAGCCAGUUGGCGGGGUAACGGCCCACCAAAGCGACGAUCGAUAGCCGAUCUGAGAGGAUGACCGGCCACAUUGGGACUGAGACACGGCCCAAACUCCUACGGGAGGCAGCAGUGGGGAAUAUUGCACAAUGGGGGAAACCCUGAUGCAGCGACGCCGCGUGAGUGAAGAAGUAUUUCGGUAUGUAAAGCUCUAUCAGCAGGGAAGAAAAUGACGGUACCUGAGUAAGAAGCCCCGGCUAACUACGUG